GUUGGGUAGGGGAGCGUUCUGUAAGCCUGUGAAGGUGGCCUGUGAGGGUUGCUGGAGGUAUCAGAAGUGCGAAUGCUGACAUAAGUAACGAUAAAGCGGGUGAAAAGCCCGCUCGCCGGAAGACCAAGGGUUCCUGUCCAACGUUAAUCGGGGCAGGGUGAGUCGACCCCUAAGGCGAGGCCGAAAGGCGUAGUCGAUGGGAAACGGGUUAAUAUUCCC
RNAcentral lists this ribosomal RNA (219 nucleotides) under Salmonella enterica subsp. enterica serovar Newport str. VA_R100506907. Its description in RNAcentral is "partial 23S ribosomal RNA". It matches the Rfam family "Bacterial large subunit ribosomal RNA", at positions 1223 to 1440 of the family's 2925-position model. RNAcentral also lists the same sequence under 5 other names. Lineage: Bacteria; Pseudomonadati; Pseudomonadota; Gammaproteobacteria; Enterobacterales; Enterobacteriaceae. The record is from RNAcentral.